CCUACGGGUGGCAGCAGUGAGGAAUAUUGGUCAAUGGGCGGGAGCCUGAACCAGCCAAGCCGCGUGAGGGAAGAAGGUACAGCGUAUCGUAAACCUCUUUUGUCAGGGAACAAAUGCGGGGACUAGUCCCCGGAUGAGGGUACCCGAAGAAAAAGCAUCGGCUAACUCCGUGCCAGCAGCCGCGGUAAUACGGAGGAUGCGAGCGUUAUCCGGAGUUAUUGGGUUUCAAGGGUGCGCAGGCGGCCUGUUAAGUCAGCGGUAAAAGCCCGGGGCUCAACCCCGGCGAGCCGUUGAAACUGUCGGGCUGGAGUUGGAGAGAUGUACGCGGAAUGCGCGGUGUAGCGGUGAAAUGCUUAGAUAUCGCGCAGAACCCCGAUUGCGAAGGCGGGUUCCUGGACAUUAACUGACGCUGAGGCACGAAGGCCAGGGGAGCGAAAGGGAUUAGAUACCCGUGUAGUC
RNAcentral lists this ribosomal RNA (459 nucleotides) under uncultured bacterium. RNAcentral's name for it is "partial 16S ribosomal RNA". It matches the Rfam family "Bacterial small subunit ribosomal RNA", at positions 338 to 795 of the family's 1533-position model. The record is from RNAcentral.